The sequence is an unclassified non-coding RNA, 294 nucleotides long. Its record names the gene 7SK. It matches the Rfam family "7SK RNA". From Rfam's summary of the family: 7SK was discovered as an abundant small nuclear RNA in the mid-70s but a possible function has only recently been suggested. Two independent studies have found that 7SK RNA binds the CDK9/cyclin T complex (known as elongation factor P-TEFb). P-TEFb activates transcription by phosphorylating the C-terminal domain of RNA polymerase II. The record is from Ensembl.
GGGUGGGACAGUGAUAUGGCUGAUAUCUGUCAUCCCAUUGACCACCAGGGUUGAUCUGGCUGAACUGGCUGGCUAGGUGGGUGUCCUUGUCUUCCCUCACCACUCCGUGUGCAUCCCUUUUGAAGCUGCAUGCUCGGCCAAGGAGGAUCUUCCCCGAUAGAGGAGGACCAUUCUUUGGUCAGGGGUAUAUGAGUAGCUGCAUUGUCUGACAGAACUGCCAAACAAGCUCUCAAAAUGCUCCUACUUUUCCUGAAAUGGGUGGUAACUUAGUGCUUAUAGAUAGGAACUGCUUUC